RNAcentral lists this ribosomal RNA (173 nucleotides) under Carupa ohashii. RNAcentral describes it as "partial 16S ribosomal RNA". The record is from RNAcentral. Lineage: Eukaryota; Metazoa; Arthropoda; Malacostraca; Decapoda; Portunidae.
GCUUUAUAAUGUUAAAAAUUCUAUGUAUUUUAUCUUAUAGAAAUGAGUUUUAAACCAUUUAUUGAGUUGGGGCGACAAAGGUAUAAUUUAAAGUAACUGCCGAUAAAUGUUACAAUUAUGUUUGUGUUAAAUAAUGUAUAGUUGAUCCCUUUUAAGGAUUAGGAGAUCAAGUU